GAACGGUAACAUUUCUAGCUUGCUAGAAGAUGACGAGUGGCGGACGGGUGAGUAAUGCUUGGGAACUUGCCUUUGCGAGGGGGAUAACAGUUGGAAACGACUGCUAAUACCGCACAAUGUCUUCGGACCAAACGGGGCUUCGGCUCCGGCGCAAAGAGAGGCCCAAGUGAGAUUAGCUAGUUGGUAAGGUAACGGCUUACCAAGGCGACGAUCUCUAGCUGUUCUGAGAGGAAGAUCAGCCACACUGGGACUGAGACACGGCCCAGACUCCUACGGGAGGCAGCAGUGGGGAAUAUUGCACAAUGGGGGAAACCCUGAUGCAGCCAUGCCGCGUGUGUGAAGAAGGCCUUCGGGUUGUAAAGCACUUUCAGUUGUGAGGAAAAGUUAGUAGUUAAUACCUGCUAGCCGUGACGUUAACAACAGAAGAAGCACCGGCUAACUCCGUGCCAGCAGCCGCGGUAAUACGGAGGGUGCGAGCGUUAAUCGGAAUUACUGGGC
This 498-nucleotide ribosomal RNA is filed under the name uncultured prokaryote. RNAcentral describes it as "bacterial SSU rRNA". It matches the Rfam family "Bacterial small subunit ribosomal RNA", at positions 64 to 559 of the family's 1533-position model. The record is from RNAcentral.